RNAcentral lists this ribosomal RNA (468 nucleotides) under uncultured bacterium. RNAcentral describes it as "partial 16S ribosomal RNA". It matches the Rfam family "Bacterial small subunit ribosomal RNA", at positions 28 to 507 of the family's 1533-position model. The record is from RNAcentral.
GACGAACGCUGGCGGCGUGCUUAACACAUGCAAGUCGAACGGAAAGGCCCUGCUUUUGUGGGGUGCUCGAGUGGCGAACGGGUGAGUAACACGUGAUUAACCUUCCCUAGACUUUGGGAUAACUUCAGGAAACUGGGGCUAAUACCGGAUAGUAGCUCCUGCUGCUUGGUGGGGGUUGGAAAGUGUCGGCGGUUGGGGAUGGACUCGCGGCUUAUCAGCCUGUCGGUGAGGUAGUUGCUUGCCAAGGUAUUGACGGGUAGCCGGACUGAGAGGGUGACAGGCCACAUUGGGACUCAGAUACGGGCCGUACUCCUACGGGAGGAAGAAGUGAGAGAUAUUGCAAGAUGCGCGGAAGCAUGGUGGAGGGACGCCGGGUGGGAGAUGACGGUUGUAAGGGUGGAAAGCGCGUUCGCCUGUGACGAAGCGUCAGUGACGGUAAUGGAUAAAGAAGCAACGGCUAACUACGUG